GCCCGUCUAGCUUAGUUGGUAAAGUGCAAGGCUCUUAACCUUGUGUGGUUGUGGGUUUGAGCCCCACAAUGGGUG
Cucurbita pepo subsp. pepo (vegetable marrow) is the source of this 75-nucleotide non-coding RNA. Lineage: Eukaryota; Viridiplantae; Streptophyta; Magnoliopsida; Cucurbitales; Cucurbitaceae. The record is from the annotation of a RefSeq genome assembly.